RNAcentral lists this ribosomal RNA (234 nucleotides) under Triticum aestivum (bread wheat). Its description in RNAcentral is "partial small subunit ribosomal RNA". The record is from RNAcentral. Lineage: Eukaryota; Viridiplantae; Streptophyta; Magnoliopsida; Poales; Poaceae.
AUGCCCGUCUCGGUCAUCCCAACUCCACCGUUAUGCGUCAGAUUCUUCAAAGUUUUUCUUUCUCAUGUAAUAAAGUCGACGAUCACUCUUGUGAAGCUUGCCGUCUUGGCAAGCACGUUCGUCUUCCCUUUAGCGCGUCUACAAACAUUUCCACCUUUCCGUUUCAGUUGUUGCAUAGUGAUGUUUGGACGUCCCCGGUUGCUAGCAACACGGGCUAUUUAUACUAUCUGGUGA